This 203-nucleotide long non-coding RNA is filed under the name Mytilus galloprovincialis (Mediterranean mussel). Lineage: Eukaryota; Metazoa; Mollusca; Bivalvia; Mytilida; Mytilidae. The record is from RNAcentral.
GUCUGUGUCAUUUUGGUCUCUUGUGGACAGUUGUCUCAUUGGCAAUCAUACCAUAUCUUCUUUUUUAUAUGUUCGGGAUAUCUAGGUUGGCAUGUCAAAUAUUCACCUCAACAUGUCUGAUAUUUAAGUUGACUUGUUAGAUAUUGAAGUCGAUGGAGUACAUAAUUGUGUCACCAUACUAAACAAUAACAAGCAAAAAAAAA